This 495-nucleotide ribosomal RNA is filed under the name uncultured bacterium. RNAcentral's name for it is "partial 16S ribosomal RNA". It matches the Rfam family "Bacterial small subunit ribosomal RNA", at positions 28 to 507 of the family's 1533-position model. The record is from RNAcentral.
GACGAACGCUGGCGGCGUGCCUAAUACAUGCAAGUAGAACGCUGAGGGAGGAGCUUGCUUCUCCGGAUGAGUUGCGAACGGGUGAGUAACGCGUAGGUAACCUGCCUUGGAGCGGGGGAUAACUAUUGGAAACGAUAGCUAAUACCGCAUAAGAGCACAUGUUGCAUGACGUUUGCUUAAAAGUUGCAAUUGCAUCGCUACCAGAUGGACCUGCGUUGUUUUAGCUAGUUGGUGAGGUAACGGCUCACCAAGGCGACGAUACAUAGCCGAACGGAGAGGGGGAGCGGCCACACUGGGACGGGGACCGGGCCCAGACUCCCACGGGAGGCAGCAGUAGGGAAACUUCGGCAAUGGACGGAAGUCUGACCGAGCAACGCGGAGUGAGUGAAGAAGGAUUUCGGGUCGUAAAGCUCUGUUGUAAGAGAGGAACGAGUGUGAGAGUGUAAAGUUCACACUGUGACGGUAUCUUACAAGAAAGGGACGGCUAACUACGUG